RNAcentral lists this transfer RNA (67 nucleotides) under Layahima weiweii. Its description in RNAcentral is "tRNA-Ser". Lineage: Eukaryota; Metazoa; Arthropoda; Insecta; Neuroptera; Myrmeleontidae. The record is from RNAcentral.
GAAAUAAGAUGAACAAGAAAAAGCUGCUAACUUUUUUCUUUAGUGGUUAAAUUCCAUUAAUAUUUCU